CCACACCUAAAAAACUUUCCACGUGAACCGUUUCAACCCAAUAGUUGGGGGUCUUAUUUGGCGGCGGCUGCUGGCUUAAUUGUUGGCGGCUGCUGCUGAGUGAGCCCUAUCAAAAAAAAGGCGAACGUUUGGGCUUCGGCCUGAUUUAGUAGUCUUUUUUUCUUUUAAACCCAUUCCUUAAUACUGAAUAUACUGUGGGGACGAAAGUCUCUGCUUUUAACUAGAUAGCAACUUUCAGCAGUGGAUGUCUAGGCUCGCACAUCGAUGAAGAACGCUGCGAACUGCGAUACGUAAUGCGAAUUGCAGGAUUCAGUGAGUCAUCGAAAUUUUGAACGCAUAUUGCACUUCCGGGUUAGUCCUGGAAGUAUGCCUGUAUCAGUGUCCGUACAUUAAACUUGACUUUCUUCCUUCCGUGUAGUCGGUGGAGGAGAUGUCAGAUGUGAAGUGUCUUGCGAUUGGUCUUCGGACCGGCUGCGAGUCCUUUUAAAUGUACUAAACUGAACUUCUCUUUGCUCGAAAAGUGGUGGCGUUGCUGGUUGUGAAGGCUGCUAUUGUGGCAAAUUGGCGACUGGUUUGUCUGCUGCGGCAUUAAUGGAAGAGUGUUCGAUUCGUGGUAUGGUUGGCUUCGGCUGAACAAUGCACUUAUUGGACGUUUUUCCUGCUGUGGCGUGAUGGACUGGUGAACCAUAGCUCGGUGGCUUGGCUUUUGAAUUGGCUUUGCUGUUGCGAAGUAGGGUGGCAGCUUCGGUUGUCGAGGGUCGAUCCAUUUGGGAACUUAAUGUGUACUUCGGUAUGCAUCUCAA
The sequence is a ribosomal RNA, 803 nucleotides long. The stretch from base 230 to 384 matches the Rfam family "5.8S ribosomal RNA".